This 251-nucleotide ribosomal RNA is filed under the name uncultured bacterium. RNAcentral describes it as "partial 16S ribosomal RNA". It matches the Rfam family "Bacterial small subunit ribosomal RNA", at positions 15 to 257 of the family's 1533-position model. The record is from RNAcentral.
GAUCAUGGCUCAGGAUGAACGCUAGCUACAGGCUUAACACAUCCAAGUCGAGGGGCAGCGGGAUUGAAGCUUGCUUCAAUUGCCGGCGACCGGCGCACGGGUGAGUAACGCGUAUCCAACCUUCCGUACACUCAGGGAUAGCCUUUCGAAAGAAAGAUUAAUACCUAAUGGUAUCUUAAGCACACAUGUAAUUAAGAUUAAAGAUUUAUCGGUGUACGAUGGGGGUGCGUUCCAUUAGGUAGUAGGCGGGG